UUUUGGCUCUGGCCCUUGCACUGCACGUCCAGCGCAAGAAACAUGCUGAUGCUUUCGGGGUGAUGNCUGUGGAAUGAGCGGCGGCCAGGUGAGUAACACAUGGGCUACCUGCCUUNNGGGACUGUGAUAACUCCNGAAACUGGGGCUAAUACCGGAUGACCAGAAUAACCGCAUGGUUCUGCUGUAAANGAAUGGACUUUUCCUAACACUGUGACAUGGGCCCUCUCGCGCAUUCCUAUUUGGUGAGGUAACGGUUUCCAAUGCGACAAUGCCUAACCGACCUGUAUGAGGGUGAUCGGCUCACACUGGAACUGAUACACGGUCCAGACUCCUACGGGAGGCAGCAGUUGGGAAUCAUCCGCAAUGGGCGAAAGCCUGACGGUGCAACGCCGCGUGAACGAUGAAAGUCUUCGGAUUGUAAAGUUCUGUUGUCAGGGAAGAACACGUGCCGGUCGAACAGGGCGGCACCUUGACGGUCCUGACCANAAAGCCCCGGCUAACUACGUGCCAUCAGCCCGCG
RNAcentral lists this ribosomal RNA (520 nucleotides) under bacterium RiMSX102. RNAcentral's name for it is "bacterial SSU rRNA". It matches the Rfam family "Bacterial small subunit ribosomal RNA", at positions 37 to 519 of the family's 1533-position model. The record is from RNAcentral.